Long non-coding RNA from Daphnia pulex (common water flea), 1899 nucleotides. RefSeq lists it as uncharacterized. The record is from RefSeq and is a predicted model, not a curated record. The transcript has 4 exons. NCBI's taxonomy places the organism in Eukaryota, Metazoa, Arthropoda, Branchiopoda, Diplostraca, Daphniidae.
GCCAGCUGGUGAAAGGUACAAUUGCUGCACGGCUCGAGUUGAAAGGUGAAUCACGAGAAGGAAAAACUCAUUAAGCGAGAGAAUUGUCGAUAGAAGUUAAUCAAAUGAGCAUCUCCGACAUGGCAACUACCAGUUCGCAAUUAUUGGCAAAUAUUCUUACUUUUUGUAUUUAGUUGUGUAUCAAUCCCAUUUUUCUCUUUUUGUUAGUGUGCCAGUUAUCAUUGAUUAUUAAUGUGGAAACUAAUUGCUCAGCUAACCAAAGCGUCGUGCUGCUGUUGGUUAUUGUAUCGCUGAUGGAUGGGUCGACAACGAGUGUACCGAUGUCUCCUGGGUAUAGUGGAUACUAAGCAUCAGCAGCGAAAGAAUACUACACCACGUCGCCACCUUUCUACACAACAAUGCCAACAUACGCAAUACCUACUUACUAAAAGAGGCCGCCAAAUUACUACACCACCUAGGCUUCAGAGUAUUGCAAGAAGUAUUACUCUGCCCCGAGCUUCUACACCGAUGAUUACUCUGCCCCGAGCUUCUACACCGAUGAUUACUCUGCUUUGAGUUACAUCACCAAGGCGUCAAGUACCACACUGAGUCUCGCAAGUACACCACUAAAGCUCCAGACUACUACACCGAUGCUUCAGCCUUUUACAACACCAAAUAGGUCGAAUACUUCACCGAAGUGCACCUAAGUAUUACACUGCAACCUACGCUACCCCAGCUUACACCGCCAUCACCCAAAAGCAACUCACGCUACGACCAGUUACUGCGCCGAGACCCCUAAGUACUACACCACUAAGGUACUGGUGUAUUAUGCUACCACAUAACUGCCCCCAGCUACUACACUGACGCCCCGAAGUAUUACUCUGCCCCGAGCUACACCAACAAGGUACCGGAGUACUACACGUAUACGUAUGCUCCCCCAACCUACUACACCGAAGCUCCCAAGUACUACUCUGUCCUCAGCUACUUACUACACCGAUGGCUAAAGUAGUAAGUACUCUGUUCCCAGCUACUACAACGAGGCUCCUGCUGAUUACUAAACCAAAAUGGUUGCAAACUACACCAAAGCGCCCAAGAACUACUCUGCCCCGAUCUACACAGCCACAACUUGCGGCAACAGGCGGUCAAGUAUUACGCAGCCCAACACAGAAGCUGCCUUUUCGUACUACGAAGAAAUACUACACUGAUGCUCCAGUUUGCUACACGCAACCUAUGCUACACCAAGGUACAACACCGAAGCUCCCAAGUACUACAUCAAAGAAGUCGCAUAUUACACAAGUCAACCACGUCCGCCGCCCCAGUUUACUUCACCGAGGAACCCAAGUAUUAAUCUGCUCCAAGCUACUACCAAACUGAGCUCAGAAGUACUACACCAGCAAGGUUCCUGAGUGUUACACCACUACUUACGCUGCUACGACCUACACACCGAAGUUCCAUAGUAUUCCUAUGCCCCGAGUUACUACACUACUAGAGCACCAACAAAUUACAACACAAUCUUUCUUCUUCGUUUAACGUUUGCGAUGGUUGCUGUCCAAUGAGGUUUGAUACUGCAGCAUAUGCUGGGGAAACGUUUAUGCGCAUCAAAUUUAAUUUUGGCUAUUACUUGAUGCUGGUAUUGUGUUUUGAAAGUUGCAAUUUGUAUUUGGUUCAAUUGGCAUUUUGUAUAUUUUAUUCGGAUGUUAAGAUUUUAGAAGAAAGAAAAACAAACAUGGGGAAUUUAAUGCCAUACAAAAAAUAAACAAAUCUUUGCAAUUAGGGAAGGAAGGAGGAGAAAACUGGGAAAGUGAAGUAAUCAUUUGAAUAUUUCAAAUGAAAUUACAUUAUUUAAUUUAUUGUGAAAUUUUCAUAUUGUUGACUAGUAAUGUAAUAAAUAUGAAAAAUAAACUUGUUCCGUCACAAUAA